GAUCGGCAUUGGUCGGGUCCUGCACCGGCUGCCAGCCGGUGGCGUCGGCGAAUGCCUGCGCGGCCCGCAGGAUCGUCGCCCGAUCCUGAUCC
This 92-nucleotide transfer RNA is filed under the name Achromobacter xylosoxidans. RNAcentral describes it as "tRNA-Gly(gcc)". Lineage: Bacteria; Pseudomonadati; Pseudomonadota; Betaproteobacteria; Burkholderiales; Alcaligenaceae. The record is from RNAcentral.